UAUUCCUUAAAAUAGCAAUCACAGAAGGUCCAAAGAACAUUACGAGGAAACAAACAAAACCAAGUGCAGACAAACCAAGGGAUCUGUUGUUGUCGGUACAUGGUUCAAAAGACAUGGACAUCUGGACGUCAAGACCAGGAAAUAGCUGACAACUUGCACAAACUUGCAACUUGACAAUGAUAACAGACUAAACAUUCCCUCCAAAAAUUGCAAAGAAUUGGAAAUUGAGAAGAUGCCUAUCAAUUGGGGAAUGGAAAAACAAGCUGUGAUAUGGGAUGAAGAUGAUUAAAUAAUAUUUAUUGUAUUUUAAGAAAUGAUCAGCAGAAUGUUUUCA
Molecule: non-coding RNA, 334 nt
Organism: Phascolarctos cinereus (koala)
Lineage: Eukaryota; Metazoa; Chordata; Mammalia; Diprotodontia; Phascolarctidae
Source: RefSeq, a predicted model, not a curated record